This 498-nucleotide ribosomal RNA is filed under the name uncultured bacterium. RNAcentral describes it as "partial 16S ribosomal RNA". It matches the Rfam family "Bacterial small subunit ribosomal RNA", at positions 28 to 507 of the family's 1533-position model. The record is from RNAcentral.
GACGAACGCUGGCGGCGUGCCUAAUACAUGCAAGUCGAGCGGACGAAUCGAAAGCUUGCUUUUGAUUCGUUAGCGGCGGACGGGUGAGUAACACGUGGGCAACCUGCCCUGUAGACGGGGAUAACACCGAGAAAUCGGUUCUAAUACCGGAUAACACGAAAUGUCGCAUGACGUUUCGUUGAAAGACGGCGCAAGCUGCCGCUACAGGAUGGGCCCGCGGCGCAUUAGCUUGUUGGUGAGGUAACGGCUCACCAAGGCGACGAUACGUAGCCGACCUGAGAGGGUGAUCGGCCACACUAGGACUGAGACACGGCCCAGACUCCUACGGGAGGCAGCAGUAGGGAAUCUUCCGCAAUGGACGAAAGUCUGACGGAGCAACGCCGCGUGAGCGAAGAAGGCCUUCGGGUCGUAAAGCUCUGUUGUUAGGGAAGAACAAGUAACGCAGUAACUGGCGUUACCGUGACGGUACCUAACGAGAAAGCCACGGCUAACUACGUG